This 253-nucleotide ribosomal RNA is filed under the name uncultured bacterium. Its description in RNAcentral is "partial 16S ribosomal RNA". It matches the Rfam family "Bacterial small subunit ribosomal RNA", at positions 524 to 776 of the family's 1533-position model. The record is from RNAcentral.
UACAGAGGUCUCAACCGUUGUUCGGAUUCAUUGGGCGUAAAGGGUGCGUAGGCGGCGGGGUAAGUCAGGUGUGAAAUCUCGGGGCUCAACCCCGAAACUGCACUUGAUACUGCCUUGCUCGAGUACUGGAGAGGAGACUGGAAUUUACGGUGUAGCAGUGAAAUGCGUAGAUAUCGUAAGGAAGACCAGUGGCGAAGGCGAGUCUCUGGACAGUUCCUGACACUGAGACACGAAGGCCAGGGGAGCAAACGGG